RNAcentral lists this ribosomal RNA (406 nucleotides) under uncultured bacterium. RNAcentral's name for it is "partial 16S ribosomal RNA". It matches the Rfam family "Bacterial small subunit ribosomal RNA", at positions 29 to 526 of the family's 1533-position model. The record is from RNAcentral.
AUUGAACGCUGGCGGCAGGCCUAACACAUGCAAGUCGAACGCGUGGCGGACGGGGGAGUAAUGUCUGGGAAACUGCGCGCAGGAGGGGGAUAACUACUGGAAACGGUAGCGAAUACCGCAUACACUCGGGUAUGCCCAGAUGGGAUUAGCUUGUAGGUGAGGUAAAGGCUCACCAAGGCGACGAGCACUAGCUGGGCUGAGAGGAGGACCAGCCAGACUGGAACUGAGACACGGUCCAGACUCCUACGGGAGGCAGCAGUGGGGAAUAUUGGACAAUGGGCGAAAGCCUGAUGCAGCCAUGCCGCGUGUAUGAAGAAGGCCUUCGGGUUGUAAAGUACUUUCGGCGGGGAGGCGUUACCCGCAGAAGAAGCACCGGCUAACUCCGUGCCAGCAGCCGCGGUAAUUC